AUGGAGCGCCUGCUUGGGCUGCUCAAGGUGAAGGUGGUCAGCGGGGUGAACCUGGCCAUCUGCGACCCCCUCGCCCACAGCAGCGACCCCUACGUCGUCAUCCGCCUCGGACAGCAGGUACUUUCCUUCCUGUCCGAUCAUCACUGGGCCUGGGCCUGGGCCUGGGCUGAUCGAGUGCUAAAUCUAAAACCGAGAUGUAAUCAUGUGCAGAAAGUGAAGUCCGGUAUCAAAUAUAAAUUCACCAACCCGGAAUGGAACGAGGAGCUCACCCUGUCCAUCACAAACUGGACGCUCCCGGUUAAGAUUGAAGUCUUUGACCAUGAUACUUUCACCAAGGAUGACAGCAUGGGCGAUGCAGAGUUCAGCAUCCUCGACUUCGUCGAGAUCGCCAACAAGGACCUCAGCCACGUCCCUGACGACACCGUGAUGAAGACGAUCCACCCUGACAAGGACAACUGCUUCUCCACCGAGAGCCACAUCAGAUGGAAAGACGACAAGGUCUCUCAGAACAUUGUCCUCAAGCUGAGGAACACCGACACCGGCGAGAUCAUCCUGCACCUGGAGUGGGUUAACAUCCCAGGCACGGCGCGGUGA
Molecule: ribosomal RNA, 594 nt
Filed under: Triticum aestivum (bread wheat)
Lineage: Eukaryota; Viridiplantae; Streptophyta; Magnoliopsida; Poales; Poaceae
Description: partial small subunit ribosomal RNA
Source: RNAcentral